GCUUGCCAUCGGACGGUCGCGUUCAUCUUCGGAUGGAUGAGGAAAGUCCGAACUCCCGAGAGCAGCGUGCCGUGCGAGGGUAACCAAGCACGGGCAGGGAAGAAUAAUUGCGAGAAAACACUUCCCUGACAGCGCAGUGUCACAGAAAGCAUACCGCCCUUUGGGGUAAGGGUGAAAUGGCGGGGUAAGAGCCCACCGCGCUUCGGGUAACCGAAGCGGUCACGAUAAACCUCACGCGGAGCAAGACCACGUAGGCGAUCCGUCAUCUUCGGAUGAUUCCUGCUGCUCGCAGGCUGUGAUCGCGGGUAGGUCGCAUCAGAGAAAUGACCGUCUCCUAUCUUCGGGUAGACAGACAGAAUUCGGCUUACAGAUGGCAAGCAAGA
This 383-nucleotide RNase P RNA is filed under the name Bacteroidota bacterium. RNAcentral's name for it is "Bacteroidetes bacterium (activated sludge metagenome) RNase P RNA component class A". It matches the Rfam family "Bacterial RNase P class A". Rfam says of the family: Ribonuclease P (RNase P) is a ubiquitous endoribonuclease, found in archaea, bacteria and eukarya as well as chloroplasts and mitochondria. Its best characterised activity is the generation of mature 5'-ends of tRNAs by cleaving the 5'-leader elements of precursor-tRNAs. Cellular RNase Ps are ribonucleoproteins. The record is from RNAcentral. Lineage: Bacteria; Pseudomonadati; Bacteroidota.